CAGGCAGGUAGUUUAAAGUCUUGUAAUUGGAAUGAUGGGAAUUUAAACCUCUUCCAGAGUAUCAAUUGGAGGGCAAGUCUGGUGCCAGCAGCCGCGGUAAUUCCAGCUCCAAUAGCGUAUAUUAAAAUUGUUGCAGUUAAAAAGCUCGUAGUUGAAUUUCUGCUGCAUUGCUUGUGUCCCUCUGGGGUCUGUGCAUGUGGCUUUUUUCGGACGGAGUUUCUUUGUCUGAAUGUUUACUUUGAGAAAAUUAGAGUGCUCAAAGCAGGCUUUCGCCUUGAAUAGUUUAGCAUGGAAUAAUAAAGUAGGACUUUGGUUCUAUUUUGUUGGUUUUAGGUACCAAAGUAAUGGUUAAUAGGAACAGUUGGGGGCAUUCGUAUUUAACUGUCAGAGGUGAAAUU
Molecule: ribosomal RNA, 398 nt
Filed under: Theileria annulata
Lineage: Eukaryota; Apicomplexa; Aconoidasida; Piroplasmida; Theileriidae
Description: SSU rRNA
Rfam family: Eukaryotic small subunit ribosomal RNA
Source: RNAcentral